GGAAGUAAAAGUCGUAAUAAGGUUUCCGUAGGUGAACCCGCGGAAGGAUCAUUAUUGUAUAACCGAGGUGCGAGGGCUGUCGCUGACCCGAAAGGUCGUGCACGCCCGAGUGCCCUCACACACAUCCAUCUCACCCCUAUGUGCACCACCGCGUGGGUCCCCCUUUGGCUUGUUCGGAGGGGGGCUUACGUUUUCACACAAACUUUGUAUGCAGUGUAGAAUGUAUUUUUUGUUUUUGCGAUCACGCAAUCAAUACAACUUUCAACAACGGAUCUCUUGGCUCUC
This 285-nucleotide unclassified non-coding RNA is filed under the name plant metagenome. RNAcentral's name for it is "partial contains small subunit ribosomal RNA, internal transcribed spacer 1, and 5.8S ribosomal RNA". The stretch from base 1 to 54 matches the Rfam family "Eukaryotic small subunit ribosomal RNA", at positions 1778 to 1831 of the family's 1831-position model. The record is from RNAcentral.